AGAGAUGUGUGAUGACGCAUAUCAAUAAGCGGAGGAAAAGAAACUAACAAGGAUUCCCUUAGUAACGGCGAGUGAAGCGGGAAGAGCUCAAAUUUGAAAUCUUCAAGGUUCUACCUUGACGAAUUGUAGUUUAUAGAAGUGUUUUCUGUUAGUGGAGUGGCAAAAGUUCUUUGGAAUAGGACAUCAUAGAGGGUGAGAAUCCCGUAUUUGGUCAUUCCUCCUAGCGUUGUGAUACACUUUCAACGAGUCGGAUUGUUUGGGAAUGCAGUCCAAAAUGGGUGGUAAAUUUCAUCUAAAGCUAAAUAUUGGCGAGAGACCGAUAGCGAACAAGUACCGUGAGGGAAAGAUGAAAAGAACUUUGAAAAGAGAGUUAAACAGUACGUGAAAUUGUCAAAAGGGAAGCGUUUGACACCAGUGUUGUUUUUCCGAAAAUCAAUUACGAAUGUUUUGUUUUGAGAGUUAUGACUUCAUCGGCUUGCUCCUUUCUUUAUGAAACUUUCUUAAUGCACUUUUCGGUUAACAAGUCAGCAUCAAUUUCUUUUGUUGUAAAAGAGUAUGAGGAAGGUGGCUUUCUUUUCGGAGAAAGUGUUUAUAGCCUUGUACUUCUGCAAUCGGAGAGAUUGAGGUCUGCAGCGUAGAUCCUUCGGGGUUAGAUACACUUGUGCUAAGUUAUAGCUUUUCAUAGACAACUUGUUGAUUAUGUUAAGUCUUGUAGCUUACUCGCUUGUGCUAUUUUACCUACGCUUAGGAUGUUGACGCAUGAGAUAUACGC
Molecule: ribosomal RNA, 772 nt
Filed under: uncultured Neocallimastigales
Lineage: Eukaryota; Fungi; Neocallimastigomycota; Neocallimastigomycetes; Neocallimastigales
Description: partial large subunit ribosomal RNA
Rfam family: Eukaryotic large subunit ribosomal RNA
Source: RNAcentral